AGUGAACGCUGGCGGUAGGCCUAACACAUGCAAGUCGAACGGCAGCGCAGUAAGAGCUUGCUCUUACGGGUGGCGAGUGGCGGACGGGUGAGGAAUACAUCGGAAUCUACUUUUUCGUGGGGGAUAACGUAGGGAAACUUACGCUAAUACCGCAUACGACCUACGGGUGAAAGCAGGGGAUCUUCGGACCUUGCGCGAUUGAAUGAGCCGAUGUCGGAUUAGCUAGUUGGCGGGGUAAAGGCCCACCAAGGCGACGAUCCGUAGCUGGUCUGAGAGGAUGAUCAGCCACACUGGAACUGAGACACGGUCCAGACUCCUACGGGAGGCAGCAGUGGGGAAUAUUGGACAAUGGGCGCAAGCCUGAUCCAGCCAUACCGCGUGGGUGGAGAAGGCCUUCGGGUUGUAAAGCCCUUUUGUUGGGAAAGAAAAGCAGCAGGUUAAUACCCCGCUGUUCUGACGGUACCCAAAGAAUAAGCACCGGCUAACUUCGUG
This 492-nucleotide ribosomal RNA is filed under the name uncultured bacterium. RNAcentral describes it as "partial 16S ribosomal RNA". It matches the Rfam family "Bacterial small subunit ribosomal RNA", at positions 29 to 507 of the family's 1533-position model. The record is from RNAcentral.